GAAGUAAUCACCAACAAUGUUUUCCUGUUUAGUGGCUCAAAUUGAAUAUAUAUGACAAUAUAUGACAAAAGGGGGCUAGGAUAAUUCAGGUAUAUUGAAAGGGGUACUUACAAUUACAAAUGUGGCACAUUCUUCUGAUUAAACUCGUAUUCUGUUAGAGUAACAUUGGUCACCUGCAAACAACCAAUAAAUGUGUGAUUUCUCUUAAUUUAGUAUAGGGGCAGUGGCCGGUCAAGAAACUGGUAGUAAGAACAGCAAUGCACUUCAUUUGCCUUCCUCAACAUGUGCGGUACGACCAACUCUGUGAAUAUAUCCUGAAAGUGAAUUUGCAAACAAUAAUUAUAGCAAGCAACAUGUAGAAAAUUUCACAGGCUGUGUUUAGAAUCGCCAACCUUUG
Molecule: long non-coding RNA, 397 nt
Filed under: Zea mays
Lineage: Eukaryota; Viridiplantae; Streptophyta; Magnoliopsida; Poales; Poaceae
Description: long non-coding RNA (ZMAY_LNC002063)
Source: RNAcentral